This 876-nucleotide long non-coding RNA is filed under the name Monodelphis domestica (gray short-tailed opossum). Its description in RNAcentral is "lncRNA (ENSMODG00000050579.1)". The record is from RNAcentral. Lineage: Eukaryota; Metazoa; Chordata; Mammalia; Didelphimorphia; Didelphidae.
AUUUAAAUAAAAUAAUGUGAACCUUAAAAUCUCUCAGACUUGUGAAUAUUAAAAAUUUCCCCAUCGGGGAAUUCUUAAUUGGAACAAAUUCCCUACUGAGAAAGAAACAUUCCCCAUUUUGCUGUGAGAACUCACCAGGAUCAGAAAUGGGAGGACCUCUACUCCACCCAUGUACUUAAGACUGCUUUAGGGGAGAAAACUCAUUGCUAAACAAAGAAAGUACUUGGAUCCAUGCUUAUGGUGGGGCAAGGAGUUCUUUGAGCCAGGCCUGUUUUUAGAAUUGAUACAAUGAGAUGCUAAGUACCUAAAAGGGUCGGGCAAGUUUUGUCUUAAUGAGAUUAGUUGACUCAGCUGUGUUUUCACUGGUUCAGACUUACUGAGGACAUUUGUCAAUUUAGCAGGAAUUCAGAUGGGCAGUCCUUUGGAAAGCAUCUACAGUGAUUGGUAGAUGUAGGGACUUAGGGGAGGUGACAUGAGAGAAAAACCCCUAUAUAAGAAAAAGCAGAAUCUCUUGAGGAUAGAUAUCCUUUUGGAGAAAGCCCUUUGGAGGAUCUCUAAUGAGGACCACUUGGGAAGAAUAUCUUGAGAGAGGCCUUUUGGAACAGUCUCUGGCUGGAAGGCUCUCUGGUAAAGUCAGCUGAGAUGGAGCUGGCCUGAUGUCACUAGAAUCCUCGUUUAGUCAGACCUUGUGAUUCAAAUUGUAAGACACCAUGAGCUCAGAGAAAAAAAACAAACUGCUCGUGACCCAAGAGUCAACAGAAAAGAUUCAUGAUGUUCCUUCUCUGGAUUGUCCAAAAGGGUUUUCUUAUGGAUAUUCAGUCUUCAUAAUUUAAAAUACUAUUAUUAAAAUAAAUCACCAUUUUAGAAAUAAAAUCA